GAUGGGUGGUGGAGUUCGGCAGCCCGGCCUGCUGGGCCAGUUCGGUCAGUGCCACGCUGCUGUGAGACUCAGCAAUCCAUUC
RNAcentral lists this transfer RNA (82 nucleotides) under Klebsiella ornithinolytica. RNAcentral describes it as "Raoultella ornithinolytica tRNA-Ser(gct)". RNAcentral also lists the same sequence under 1 other name. Lineage: Bacteria; Pseudomonadati; Pseudomonadota; Gammaproteobacteria; Enterobacterales; Enterobacteriaceae. The record is from RNAcentral.